Molecule: ribosomal RNA, 434 nt
Filed under: uncultured Lachnospiraceae bacterium
Lineage: Bacteria; Bacillati; Bacillota; Clostridia; Lachnospirales; Lachnospiraceae
Description: partial 16S ribosomal RNA
Rfam family: Bacterial small subunit ribosomal RNA
Source: RNAcentral
ACGGAAGGCAGCAGUGGGGGAUAUUGCACAAUGGGGGAAACCCUGAUGCAGCGACGCCGCGUGAGUGAAGAAGUAUUUCGGUAUGUAAAGCUCUAUCAGCAGGAAAGAAAAUGACGGUACCUGACUAAGAAGCCCCGGCUAACUACGUGCCAGCAGCCGCGGUAAUACGUGGGGGGCAAGCGUUAUCCGGAUUUACUGGGUGUAAAGGGAGCGUAGACGGCCACGCAAGUCUGAAGUGAAAGCCCGGGGCUCAACCCCGGAACUGCUUUGGAAACUGUGAGGCUAGAGUGCAGGAGAGGUAAGCGGAAUUCCUAGUGUAGCGGUGAAAUGCGUAGAUAUUAGGAGGAACACCAGCGGCGAAGGCGGCUUACUGGACUGUAACUGACGUUGAGGCUCGAAGGCGUGGGGAGCAAACAGGAUUAGAUACCCUGGUA